This is a long non-coding RNA of Cucurbita moschata (crookneck pumpkin), 657 nucleotides long. RefSeq lists it as uncharacterized. Lineage: Eukaryota; Viridiplantae; Streptophyta; Magnoliopsida; Cucurbitales; Cucurbitaceae. The record is from RefSeq and is a predicted model, not a curated record. The transcript is spliced from 2 exons.
UAUUGGGUCAGAGUCAUCAGCCAUUGUUAGCGGUUGCUGCAUCUUCAAGAUUCACACCCUUUUUGGGUCAUCUUGUUGGGGUCUCCUGGCUCCAACCCCCUUGACAUUUGAGAAUCUUGAUGAUGCUGCAGUCGCCAUCAAUGGCUCUAUAACACCCUUCUUCAAUUUUGAGUGCUUUUGUUAUGUUAAGGGUUGUUGUGCACAUUUUUUGAUCUUUCUCAUGGUGGAGGCCUAGAAAUGUGUCUACUUUCCUACCCAUUUGGUAGCAUAAGAGAAGAGAAAUAAAAUAAGUUGAUUAAUGUGUUGCUUUUUCAGGUUCUUUUGUUACCUCCAUCAUCAUCAUCAUCACCAUCAGCCUUACACCAUUUUGAUUUGUUCAUGGUUGGGUAAGUGUAAGCUUUUCAGAUAUAUUUGCAGGGUUUCACCAGGUUUUAGCAAAAAGAGAUGAAUGAUGAUGUUGUGUGGCGAGUGAGUUCAUAUGGAUCUGCCACUUAUGGACCCCAGCUCAUGAACAAACCCCUUUUUUUUACUUGCUGAAAAUUUCAUGAAAAGCUCAUAAAGUUUGUAUCUUUUGGCUGCAUUAAAUGCUCACAUAGCUGCUUUGAGAUGAUCAUGAAUAUAUUGUAUGAAAAUCAUAUGAAUGGACUAAUUUAUGGA